RNAcentral lists this unclassified non-coding RNA (246 nucleotides) under Hevea brasiliensis (rubber tree). Lineage: Eukaryota; Viridiplantae; Streptophyta; Magnoliopsida; Malpighiales; Euphorbiaceae. The record is from RNAcentral.
GAAGGAUCGAGAGUAGAGGUAAUCUGAGUAGCGUCGAGAUUAGGAAAGUUGAGAAAUUUGAAAGAAUGCUAAGAUUUCUUAGAACCAUUACAAGUUAUCAUCGUUUUAUUUUCCCUGAUUCAUUAGUCAAACUCACAAAGAAGGCCAAAUCGAUUGUGAAAACACUUCAAGGAAUAUUUGAUGGGAUUCCAGAUGAAUGUAAAACUAACCUUAAUCUGGAAAGGCUCGUAUCACAUUUGUUCGAAU